GGAGCUGGCGGGGCUCAUUGAGAGGGCUUUAAACUAGGUAAGAUAGGGGAUGGGGCUGAAACAAGGUUUGUUGGAGCUGUGCCGGAGGAACAAUGGCAAGGCCAGGGGAGAAAGCAAUGGCCCAGCUGAAGUGCAUCUACACUAAUGCACGCAUCAUGAGUAACAAACAGGAGGAGCUGGAAGCCAUCGUGCAGCAGGCAGGCUACGACUUGGUUGCCAUCACGGAGACGUGGUGUGACCACUCUCAAGACUGGAGUGCUGCAAUGCCUGGCUAUAGGCUCUUCAGAAGGGACAGGCAGCAUGGAAGGGGUGGUGGUGUGGCUCUCUAUAUCAGAGAGUUUUGAUGUUGUGGAACUCCAGGCUGGGAAUGAUAAGGUUGAGUCCCUUUGGGUUAGGAUCGGUGAGAAGGCCAAUAAGGCAAGCAUCCUGGUUGGGGUCUGUUAUAGACCGCUGAACCAGGAUGAGGAGACGGAUGAGGAGUUCUACAGGCAGCUGACAGAAGCUUCAAAAUCGUCGGUGCUUGUUCUCGUGGGGGACUUCAACUUCCCUAACAUAUCCUGGAAGCACAACACAGCCCAGAGAAAGCAGUCUAGGAGGUUUCUGGAGAGCUUGGAAGAGAGCUUCCUGACCCAGCUGGUUAGUGAGCCUACCAGGGGUGGUGCCCUGCUAGACCUUCUGUUCACAAACAGAGAAGGACUGGUGGGGAACGUGGUGGUUGGAAACUGUCUUGGGCAGAGUGACCACGAAAUGGUGGAGUUCUCUAUUCUUGGCGAGGCCAGGAAGGGGACCAGUAAAACCGCUGUAUUGGACUUCCGGAGGGCUGACUUUGAGCUGCUCAGGACACUGGUUGGCAGAGUCCCUUGGGAGGUGGUUCUGAAGGGCAGAGGAGUCCAGGAAGGCUGGGCGCUCUUCAAGAAGGAAAUCUUAAUGGCUCAGGAGCGGUCUGUCCCCAUGUGCCCAAAGACGAGCCGGUGUGUAAGAAGACUGGCCUGGCUCAACAGAGAGUUGCAGCUUGAGCUUAGGAGAAAAAAGAGGGUUUAUAAUCUUUGGAAAAAAGGGUGGGCCACUGAGGAGGACUAUAAGGAUGUUACGAGGCUGUGCAGGGACAAAAUUAGAAAGGCCAAAGCUCAUCUGGAGC
This 1138-nucleotide long non-coding RNA is filed under the name Anas platyrhynchos platyrhynchos (common mallard). RNAcentral describes it as "lncRNA (ENSAPLG00000030606.1)". The record is from RNAcentral. Lineage: Eukaryota; Metazoa; Chordata; Aves; Anseriformes; Anatidae.